RNAcentral lists this ribosomal RNA (805 nucleotides) under uncultured bacterium. RNAcentral describes it as "bacterial SSU rRNA". It matches the Rfam family "Bacterial small subunit ribosomal RNA", at positions 11 to 850 of the family's 1533-position model. The record is from RNAcentral.
GUUUGAUCCUGGCUCAGAUUGAACGCUGGCGGUAUGCUUAAGACAUGCAAGUCGUGCGGUAGAAGGCUUCGGCCUUUGAGAGCGGCGGACGGGUGAGUAACACGUGGGAAUCUACCUAUUAGUGGGGGACAGCCCAGCGAAAGCUGGAUUAAUACCGCAUACGCCCUACGGGGGAAAGCAGCAAUGCGCUAAUAGAUGAGCCCGCGUAAGAUUAGCUAGUUGGUAAGGUAAAGGCUUACCAAGGCGACGAUCUUUAGCUGGUCUGAGAGGAUGGCCAGCCACAUCGGGACUGAGACACGGCCCGGACUCCUACGGGAGGCAGCAGUCGGGAAUAUUGGACAAUGGGCGAAAGCCUGAUCCAGCAAUACCGCGUGUGUGAAGAAGGCCUGCGGGUUGUAAAGCACUUUCAGUUGGGAAGAUAAUGACGUUACCAACAGAAGAAGCACCGGCUAACUCCGUGCCAGCAGCCGCGGUAAUACGGAGGGUGCAAGCGUUAAUCGGAAUUACUGGGCGUAAAGCGUGCGUAGGCGGCCUGUUAAGUCAGAUGUGAAAGCCCCGGGCUUAACCUGGGAACUGCAUCUGAUACUGGGAGGCUAGAAUGUGGGAGAGGAGAGUGGAAUUUCCGGUGUAGCGGUGAAAUGCAUAGAGAUCGGAAGGAACACCAGUGGCGAAGGCGGCUCUCUGGACCAACAUUGACGCUGAGGCACGAAAGCGUGGGUAGCAAACAGGAUUAGAUACCCUGGUAGUCCACGCCCGUAAACGAUGUCAACUAGCCGCCGGCCUCACUCUAAAGGUCGGUGGUGCA